Molecule: signal recognition particle RNA, 295 nt
Filed under: Phascolarctos cinereus (koala)
Lineage: Eukaryota; Metazoa; Chordata; Mammalia; Diprotodontia; Phascolarctidae
Description: Metazoan signal recognition particle RNA (ENSPCIG00000002882.2)
Rfam family: Metazoan signal recognition particle RNA
About the family: The signal recognition particle (SRP) is a universally conserved ribonucleoprotein. It is involved in the co-translational targeting of proteins to membranes.
Source: RNAcentral
GCCAGGCAUGGCAGUACAUUUCGAUAAUGUCAGCUACCUGGAGGUUGAGGCUGAUGGGUCUCUUGAUCUUGGGAGUUCAGAACCCAUAGUGGACUGUGCCAAUCAGGUGUCCUAAGUUUGGCAUUACUAUUGAUGAACCCUUGGGAGUGGGUGGCUACCAGAUUACAUAAGGAGGGUUGAACUGGCCCAGGUGGGAAGCAGAGCAGGUUAAGACUCCCAUGCCAAUCAGUAGUUGGAUGAAGCUGUGAGUAGCUCCUGCACUUCCAGCCUGGGGCACACGGGGAGUCUAGUUUUA